UACGUAGGGGACGAGCGUUGUCCGGAAUUACUGGGCGUAAAGGGCGCGCAGGCUGCGCGUCGAGUCGGCUGUCAAAGAUCCGGGCUUAACCCGGUGAAGCGGUCGAGACCGACGAGCUGGAGUGCUGCAGAGGCAAGUGGAAUUCCCGGUGUAGCGGUGAAAUGCGUAGAUAUCGGGAAGAACACCGGUGGCGAAGGCGACUUGCUGGGCAGCAACUGACGCUGAGGCGCGAAAGCCAGGGGAGCGAACGGG
RNAcentral lists this ribosomal RNA (252 nucleotides) under uncultured bacterium. RNAcentral's name for it is "partial 16S ribosomal RNA". It matches the Rfam family "Bacterial small subunit ribosomal RNA", at positions 524 to 776 of the family's 1533-position model. The record is from RNAcentral.